UUUUUCCGAUUCAAUACAUACAUAUCUAGGUAUGCAACGCAUAAUCUUUGCUACAACUGAAUUUUUUUCAACAAAAGAUGGCAGCAUAUACGCACAAUUUUUUAUUGCUUUAUAUUCUUACCGGAAAUGAAUCGACUCGGGUUUUACAUAUUACACACUUGUAAUAGACGCUGACAGGAAUACGAGGAAUUAUGCAUUAUAUGAAUAUCUGUUACUCGGCCCAGACAAUGUUUUUGAUUGUUUGGUCGCCCGCGGUACACCGCGUAUGCGAUAUCGGUUGAAAAAAGUCUCACGCAUUUUUGAAACCGUAUCAAUUAAGUUAUUUUUUGAUAUGGUAUUCAAUUUUUCCCACAAUAAUGAUGUACACGUAUUACGUAUUUGAUUGUCCACGCAUUUAUAUGACACCUAAAUUGUUUAAUUCUUUAAAAUUUCUGAUUGUCUGAACAGUACGUAAAGAAAGGAGAUCAUAAAUAACGUCACCAAAUGAAGUGUAACAUGUCAGUAGAAUACAUACAUAAUAAAUAUCUGAUACGAAUCCCCGCCUUUUACGUAACCGCGGGGAAGUGGCAUAUGUAAUCAAAAGUUCCGAGACCGGCUUCACAUCUUUCGUCCCACGCAUCUCGAUCGUAUCGGACCGCCGUAAUAAUGGCCACCACAGCUGUAGCUCGACUCUUGUUUGGCAGGGUUCCACGAGUAUCAAGGAAUCUGUCAUAAUUUUCAUCCCUUAAGUUUUACUCGAGCGGGGCUCAUCUGCGGGUUUCUCUAAGGCAUUCCUAAUUUCGGCUAAAGCUGCAUUCGUGUAUCUACAUUACACCGUUCAUACAGCAUGUGCCGAAAUCGUCGCCGAUAUAACUCGUUUAACGGUGUUGGUAGAACUAACGACCACGUGUUUGUGCGAACAUCGAACUGAUCCCCGGUCACGCACACGUUCAAUCUACCACGUUAUAGAUAGCAAGUUCGUUCCAUCGGAUGUUUCUGGAAGCGCUACCAUUGGAUAUGCGCAUAUUGGGAAUGCUAAUUUGAAUGAGAGUAUUUUCACGUCAGUGUUUCGUGGACGACGGACGAGGCGGAAUUUUUCAACUUUUCUCAACGCACGUACAUUCGUUCGUGAGAUAAGUUCAUCGAACACUCGAAUAUCCUGGCUUGACGCGUCAAACGAGUGGUAACGGCGCUUCGCAAAGAACAGACAUUCACGCCUUUCAAUGGGACAUGGUAGAACAAUGAAUAUUGUCUAGCAUUUCAAAUUAAAAUUUCAACGAGCAGCAUUCUUUUGACCCCAGCUCCAGAAUUCCCUCCUCUCUAAAACGUCGAGAUCGUUGAAAAAACACGACCGCUUUGCCCCGAUACAAAUUACGUUGCACAUCGAAUAUAAAUUUAAUGAAAUAUGGUCAGAAAAGAACUCCGCAAAUGCUUUUACUGCAAUUACGGCAGGCUUACAAUUUCGUUUUCGACCGUAACUAAUGGUAGACAAUGCAACGCCGAUUGAGAAUAUCUUACCCAGCAUAUUAUCAUGUACGCAAGGAUCACGUUUGUAAUACACCUACUUUACAACCAGCUCGGAGUAUGCGCACCGGAAUUCGCAUCCACCACGUCACACUGGACUCCGGAGUGACCGCAAGCCGAAGCCAAGAGGAAUGAAGUAACGAGGGUGACCUUGGACGUAAAUUCGCGGUCCUCUCAUAACCCGUCACGUGGAUGUUGACAACCUCUCCGCAUCGGUAUUCGUAAUAUACCGACGACUCAGCGCGAAGUGAAGCUAUUACUGUUUCAUAAUAUGAUAAUAUCAUUCGAUAACUUGUUCGGAGCGAGCGUGUUCGUGUCAUCAUUGUCUGUAAUGUGGGUACUUUAUACUGACUGAAACGAAUUUGUAGAUGGAAAAAUCGCGGUAGGGUAAUCGUGGGAUCUCUUCGCGUAUAAAUACUUUUUUACGGACGUCUGUUGACCGGAAGAUCGUUGAAUUUUCACAAUGCAUAUGCACGUCAUUCGUCGUAGCGUCAUAGCGUCAUUCUUUUUCAAAUCUACUGUGAUACAGAUACGAGCCAGACCUAUUUCGCAGUUAUACGUCGGUUACGCAGACAGGAAAAUUAUGUAUUUCGUAGAAUAUUGUCUUUACGGUGGUCGCGAGGAUUCCAAGUGCUAUCUGAAUCGUUGAGUUAAUUAUGCGCUCCAAAGCAAUCCAUUUCCGCUUCGAGACAGGAGGUGCAGACAAUGAGUUAGCGUUGAACGUGAUGUCUCAGAUUUUUCGAGAUUUCAAUUAUUUUGUCGUUCGAACGGCUGGUAUUACGUAUGUGAUUCAAGAAGGUCCGUGAAUGCCUAUGAAAAGCAGAACAUGAGAAUAAAUGAAAGUUUUUUCACUCAGUGCUUUGUGCGAGUCGAAUCCAGUGCGCGCGUUUGGUUAGAGGAAAUUGAUCUCCGGAAGCUAGUCGUGAGUACGUAUAUCUGAAUCUGGUUAAACUCGGCUGAUAAUCGUCAUUCGUUUAUUCAAGAGGUGACGUAACGGAGUUAAACGAUAGGAGCCGUCGCGAAAUGAGGAUUUUAUAAAAUGUAAACGUUCCACUUGAAAUAAUGAUGAGAAAAUAAAUGAAAUAAAACAAAAUAUGUAGAAGAGAAGGAAAGUGGGAAUGGCAGGGGUAAAAGCGAUAAGCCGAAGGGAGAUAGCAAGGCAGCCGUCGAGCGUUUACUCCGUAUAUCUCAAAGUCAAUGUCCUACGAAGGACUGCGUUCACCCACACUUUGCUCAUACGCUGCAGCACGCGUGGUCUCUUUCCACGCGUGUUUCUCACGAUGCACGAUGUAUCGUGAAAGCAGAACUCGCGAGAUAAGCAAACUUCGCGGAAACAAGAAAAUAACCGCAGCCUGCAGAUGGAUAGGAAACGUCAUUAUUCGCAUUAGUACCAUGGACAGAAUCACUACAUUCUAUAUCUGUAAAAUUUCACUCACCCCGAACGUUGUUCCGUGACGAUCGAGAACUAAAAUUGCGUGAAAAAAUUGAAAUCAAAUCAAAUGGCUGAUUUGCGGCCAGUGCGUAUACAUGUAAAUUCAGAUCUAUGCGUGUAUGUAAAGAGAAAAUAUCUUUUCCUAUUUAUUGAUUUGAACUCUUUACAAGCCUAAUCGAUUAUAAAUGACGACGAGUCUUCCAAAUGACUUAUUGUUAGUUAUUGUUACGAACGACGAUUACUAAUUAACCUUACGACUGAUUAGUACCUCAUGCUCCGAAUGAGCUAUUCCAGAUAACGAUGUUCCGACUGAUCGCGAUCAAUUUUCACAUUCCCCCCUCGUCCUAUUAAUUUUACCCGUCCUUAAGUCACCUCACUCAAAAUUGCAGGUGAACUUCAAGAGACGAUGCACUUCAGCUUGCACAAUCGCAUACAUGAAAAUCACGAGUGAAAAAAAAUGUAUAAGGUAUGUGCAUUUGAUCCAGUUUUAGAGAAAAUCUAGAAUCAAAGUCGGACGGAUUAGUUGAUAAUUAUGAUCAGUAGAAAGUGAGAGAUAGUUUGCUAAUCUUUUAUUUGGCAAAUAAUUCUUGGGAUAGCGAUAAACUGAUCACAACUGAU
Athalia rosae (coleseed sawfly) is the source of this 3553-nucleotide long non-coding RNA. RefSeq lists it as uncharacterized. The transcript is spliced from 3 exons. The record is from RefSeq and is a predicted model, not a curated record. NCBI's taxonomy places the organism in Eukaryota, Metazoa, Arthropoda, Insecta, Hymenoptera, Athaliidae.